This 253-nucleotide ribosomal RNA is filed under the name uncultured bacterium. RNAcentral's name for it is "partial 16S ribosomal RNA". It matches the Rfam family "Bacterial small subunit ribosomal RNA", at positions 524 to 776 of the family's 1533-position model. The record is from RNAcentral.
UACAGAGGGCUCAAGCGUUGUUCGGAUUCAUUGGGCGUAAAGGGUGCGUAGGUGGCGCUGUAAGUCGGGUGUGAAAUUUCGGAGCUUAACUCCGAAACUGCAUUCGAUACUGCGGUGCUUGAGGACUGGAGAGGAGACUGGAAUUCAUGGUGUAGCAGUGAAAUGCGUAGAGAUCGUAAGGAAGACCAGUGGCGAAGGCGGGUCUCUGGACAGUUCCUGACACUGAGGCACGAAGGCCAGGGGAGCAAACGGG